RNAcentral lists this ribosomal RNA (457 nucleotides) under uncultured bacterium. RNAcentral's name for it is "partial 16S ribosomal RNA". It matches the Rfam family "Bacterial small subunit ribosomal RNA", at positions 28 to 523 of the family's 1533-position model. The record is from RNAcentral.
GAUGAACGCUGGCGGCGUGCCUAUACAUGCAAGUCGAGCGGUAAGGCCACUUCGGUGGUACACGAGCGGCGGACGGCUGAGUAACACGUAGGAACAUACCCCAAACUGAGGGAUAACUGCCCGAAAGGGUAGCUAAUACCGCAUGUGCUCUUCGGAGCAAAGCUACGGCGGUUUAGGAAUGGCCUGCGUCCGAUUAGCUAGUUGGUGAGGUAAUUGCUCACCAAGGCGACGAUCGGUAGCUGGUCUGAGAGGAUGAUCAGCCAGACUGGGACUGAGAACGGCCCAGACUCCUACGGGAGGCAGCAGUAGGGAAUUUUCCACAAUGGACGAAAGUCUGAUGGAGCAACGCCGCGUGCAGGAUGAAGGCUUUCGGGUCGUAAACUGCUUUUAUCUGUGAAGAUUAUGACGGUAGCAGAUGAAUAAGGAUCGGCUAACUCCGUGCCAGCCGCCGCGGUAA